This is a long non-coding RNA of Oncorhynchus tshawytscha (Chinook salmon), 259 nucleotides long. RefSeq lists it as uncharacterized. The record is from RefSeq and is a predicted model, not a curated record. NCBI's taxonomy places the organism in Eukaryota, Metazoa, Chordata, Actinopteri, Salmoniformes, Salmonidae. The transcript has 2 exons.
UACACCAUAUUCAGGACCACGUGUCUCUGGGAGACUAUGAGAUCCAUGAUGGGCAGAACCUGGAGCUGUACUACCAGUAGAAGACUGAGGACACACACACAACACACACACACACACCACACACAAAAUUCUAUGUAUUAACAAGGCUUGCGUUUGUUGAUCAUUGGAUCAGGGUUUUGCAGAAGACAUUGUUGAUGUUCUAGUGAUGAAAUGUUUUGAUAUUGUUUGGAAAUAAAAGCAAAUAUUUAUAUUAGUUUAA